Long non-coding RNA from Octopus sinensis (East Asian common octopus), 273 nucleotides. RefSeq lists it as uncharacterized. Lineage: Eukaryota; Metazoa; Mollusca; Cephalopoda; Octopoda; Octopodidae. The transcript is spliced from 2 exons. The record is from RefSeq and is a predicted model, not a curated record.
UAUGUAUGUAUAUCUAUAUAUAUAUAUAUAUAUAUAUAUAUAUAUAUAUAUAUAUAUAUAUAUAUGCAGUAGGAGCAUUGAUAUUCCUGUUUGUAAACUAUGUAACCAGGAUACUAUAUGUUGAUAUGUAUAUAUGCAUGGCAGGUGUGGAUAUUUUAUGUAUAUAAAGGACAAAUUCCUCCCAUCUCCAUGGAAACAAAAAUAAAAUAUAUAAAUGAAAAAUGAAAAGAAAAAUUAAAUGAAAUCUUUAUCUUUGCCCAAUAUUUGCCAAAA